RNAcentral lists this ribosomal RNA (497 nucleotides) under uncultured soil bacterium. RNAcentral's name for it is "bacterial SSU rRNA". It matches the Rfam family "Bacterial small subunit ribosomal RNA", at positions 26 to 523 of the family's 1533-position model. The record is from RNAcentral.
AGAUUGAACGCUGGCGGCAUGCCUUACACAUGCAAGUCGAACGGUAGAGUAGCAAUACUUGAGAGUGGCGAACGGGUGAGUAAUAUAUCGGAACGUGCCCAGUCGUGGGGGAUAACGUAGAGAAAUUUACGCUAAUACCGCAUACGAUCUAAGGAUGAAAGCGGGGGACCGUAAGGCCUCGCGCGAUUGGAGCGGCUGAUAUCAGAUUAGGUUGUUGGUGAGGUAAAAGCUCACCAAGCCGACGAUCUGUAGCUGGUUUGAGAGAACGACCAGCCACACUGGGACUGAGACACGGCCCAGACUCCUACGGGAGGCAGCAGUGGGGAAUUUGGACAAUGGGCGAAAGCCUGAUCCAGCAAUGCCGCGUGCAGGAAGAAGGCCUUCGGGUUGUAAACGUGUCGUUUUGUACGGAACGAAACGGUCUGCUUUAAUACAGUGGUACUAAGUGACGUACCGUAAGAAUAAGCACGGCUAACACGUGCCAGCAGCCGCGGUAA